Molecule: ribosomal RNA, 255 nt
Filed under: uncultured bacterium
Lineage: Bacteria
Description: partial 16S ribosomal RNA
Rfam family: Bacterial small subunit ribosomal RNA
Source: RNAcentral
UACGAAGGGGGCUAGCGUUGCUCGGAAUGACUGGGCGUAAAGGGCGCGUAGGCGGAUGGCACAGUCAGAUGUGAAAUUCCCGGGCUUAACCUGGGGCUGCAUUUGAUACGUGUUGUCUUGAGUUCGGAAGAGGGUCGUGGAAUUCCCAGUGUAGAGGUGAAAUUCGUAGAUAUUGGGAAGAAACACCGGUGGCGAAGGCGGCGACCUGGUCCGACACUGACGCUGAGGCGCGAAAGCGUGGGGAGCAAACAGGAU